CGGAAGUAGUGAUAUGGAGCAAAACCCUAAAAGUAAGUCUCAGUUCGGAUUGAAGGCUGAAAUUCGCCUUCAUGAAGCUGGAAUUGCUAGUAAUGGCAGGUCAGCAUACUGCCGUGAAUACGUUCCCGGGCCUUGUACACACCGCCCGUCACACCAUGAGAGUUGGGAAUACCCGAAGCCUGUGAGCUAACUGUAAAGAGGCAGCAGUCGAAGGUAGAAUCAAUGAUUGGGGUGAAGUCGUAACAAGGUAUC
This 252-nucleotide ribosomal RNA is filed under the name uncultured bacterium. RNAcentral's name for it is "partial 16S ribosomal RNA". It matches the Rfam family "Bacterial small subunit ribosomal RNA", at positions 1250 to 1500 of the family's 1533-position model. The record is from RNAcentral.